GCUAGUAAUCGUGGAUCAGCAUGCCACGGUGAAUACGUUCCCGGGUCUUGUACACACCGCCCGUCACACCAUGGGAGCCGGUAAUACCCGAAGCCGGUGGCCUAACCACUUAUGUGGAAGGAGCCGUCUAAGGCAGGGCAGAUGACUGGGGUGAAGUCGUAACAAGGUAAC
Molecule: ribosomal RNA, 171 nt
Filed under: uncultured bacterium
Lineage: Bacteria
Description: partial 16S ribosomal RNA
Rfam family: Bacterial small subunit ribosomal RNA
Source: RNAcentral